AUGUGGCGUUCCGCCCCUUAUAGAAUCAAGUAUUGUUGGGAAGAUAAUAUUUAAUCAUUGAAAAUAUUAUUUAAAUAUUUUCGGGAUUAAUUUCUUUCAAUGUUUAUUAAGAUACAACGUAAAGCAAACACAUAAUUGUUAAAUGCUUACUGAUUUCACAUUUAAACGUGGCAACCUUGGUUCCCUCGCGUUGACAGUUAAUGAUUAGGAGAGGGGUACGAAGAAUUUCAGCUGGUAACUGAAGGCCGUGAAGGGGCAUUGUUCUCCAGUGUACGGUCUAGGUAGCGUUGCGGGGCGUUUGAACGAAAUUAUUCACCUAUAAUUCAAAGUUCCAAAUGUAUUAAAGAUUACCAUAAAUACUAUAGUGAAGUUAUCCAGCAGUGAACCGUGAAGUUGAAGAAUUUUGGAGAAUAUUAUAUACAAUGAGUUCCGCCCCGCACCUACCAUGAAAUCUUAAGGUCACCUAACAACCACACCAAGGCCAGACCACACUGAGAGAAACAAUCACUAGGCGACCAGCCUGGAUUAUUUCCACACAUUUUCGUUUGAGUACCUCCAGCUGCUUUCCACCAGUCUUGAGUACCUUCAGCUGCUUUCUACCAGUCUUCCUCUCCUGUACCUCCAGCAGGACAGCUGCUAGCGAGAGUUAGCACCCUUGGGUGCUCAUUACAUCAACUCGAAGAUUGUGUAAAAGGGGUUUGUUUGGGAACAUUUACUGUGCUCUUAGUAAAGACAGACUGUUUUUGGUGAUAUUUAGUACAUUUUUAUAGUUCAAUUGCACACACAUUUUUCCUGUUUUAUAUUUUUAUGGUAUUUUUUCCUUAACAACCUAAUAUUUAAUUAAUAGCGUUCCCCAAUACUCUGCAAUAUUUAAGGUAAAGAUCUCUGAGCUCAGAUAUUUUUCCCUACAAUAGUAGUCGGUACUCAUAUUUUGAUUAUUUUUAUGCUGGUUUCCAUUUUUAUAUAAUUAUUUAAACUCAUUUCAUUAUUUUAGUAUAGGUUGAAUUAGAUUUUUCAAAAUUAACUUCAAAUAUUAUUCAAAAUGUCAAUUAUUAACUUUAUUUUAACUUUAACUCAUUAAAUUCCUAUAAACUUCUGGACUCUAUUCCCUCAGAAUUGUUUCUGGUUUCACUUGCUAUUAUUAUUAUAAACUACGAGUUAGAAAAGGAUCUGUGGUAUCCAAUCGUAGGUUUAUUUAUUCGAUAAAGGUUUGUGCCUGUCCAACUCACAUUGAGUUAUUUAUAUAUUAUUUAUGAUAUCAGGUAGUAUUUAAUUAAGGUGUACGUAUUAUAAACGUACAAUUAUUAUUUGGUGAAGGUUCUACUAACCUAGGUGUAAGUUGUACUUUCUGUAUUAGAGGUACCCUUCUUCAGAUUUUCUAACCUUAUUAAGAUUAUUCUUAGAUCACAUUUGUGUGAUAAUUUUGUAAUUGACUUUCACUAGUAUCAUUUUUUUUGUCAUUUUAGAGUCACAAACUAGUUACUUGUCUUAACUCGGAGAUUGUGAACAUCUAGUAGUUAAAUUUAAUAAAUUUAUAUUUAUUGUG
This 1546-nucleotide long non-coding RNA is filed under the name Diabrotica virgifera virgifera (western corn rootworm). RNAcentral's name for it is "uncharacterized LOC126885830". Lineage: Eukaryota; Metazoa; Arthropoda; Insecta; Coleoptera; Chrysomelidae. The record is from RNAcentral.